Long non-coding RNA from Macaca fascicularis (crab-eating macaque), 1582 nucleotides. The record is from Ensembl. NCBI's taxonomy places the organism in Eukaryota, Metazoa, Chordata, Mammalia, Primates, Cercopithecidae.
UUUUUUUUUUUUUUUUUUUUUUUGAGACAGAGUCUAGCUCUGUCGCCCAGGCUGGAGUGCCGUGGCACGAUCUCGGCUCACUGCAAGCUCCCCCUGCUAGGUUCAUGCCAAUUUCCUGCCUCGGCCUCCUGAGUAGCUGGGACUACAGACACCCGCCACGACGACCUGCUAAGUUUUUUGUAUUUUUAGUAGAGACGGGGCCCGGAAACCCUUUGAUACUCUUUCCCAAUCAUUAUCUCCUCCUUCCCACACAAAAGUAACCUUUAUCUAACUUUUAUGUGAAACCAUUCCUCACUUUUUCCAUUAUUUUAAUAUCUAGAUUUUCUUCCCUAAAUAUUACAAUUUACUUUUACUACUCUUUUGAUAUACAUUAAAAUGAAAUAAUAUAAUAUAUGUUCUUCUUUGGCUUAUUUUAUGCAGCAUUAUGUUUGUGAGAUGUAGCCAUGUGGUUCUUUUAUUUUCAGAGUUGUAUAGUACCCUUGUAGCAAUAUUCCCAUCUUUGUCAGCUUGAGGGACUGAUCUAGUUUGUAUAUUUGUCCCCACCAAAAUCUCAUGUUGAAUUGUAAUUCCCAGUACUGGAAGUGGGACCUGGUAGGAGGUGAUUGUAUCAUGGGGGAGAAUUUCUCAUAAAUGUGUUAGUAUCAUUCCCUUGGUGCUGUCCUCGCAAUUGUGAAUGAGAUCUCCUGAGAUCCGGUUAUUUAAAAAGGUAUAGUCCCUCCUCACCUUCCUCUGUCUUGCUCCUGCUUUUAACUAUGUGAUGUUCCUUCUCUCACUUCACCUUCCAUAAUGAGUAAAGGCUUCUGGAGGCCACACCAGAAGCCAAGCCGGUGCUGGUCGCACAUUUGUGCAGCCUGCAGAACUGCUAAAUUUCUCAGUCUCAGGUAUUAUUUUUAACAGCAACACAAGAGUGGCCUGAUACAGAGGCUAUAAUAAAACAUUAUAGCCUAGGCUGCUUAAACAACAGAAAUUUAUUUCUCACAGUUCUGAAGGUUGGGGAGUCCAAGAUCAAGGUGCUGGCUGAUUUAGUUCCUAAUGAGGGCUCUCUUCCUUGGUUUCUCAGAGUGGUCUUCCCCUUAUGUUCUCAGGUGACCUUUCCUCAGUGCUCUUUUUUCCUCUUCUUACAUGGCCAUUAAUCUCAUCAUAAAGGCUCCAUUCUCACUACCUCAUCUAACCUUAAUUACAUCUCAAACACUCCAACUCCAAAUACCAACACAUGGGGAGUUAAGAUUUCAAUGUAUGAAUUCUGGAGAAACACAAGUAUUGAGACCAUAACAAUUCCAUACUUUGUUAGUCACUUUUUCUAUUUGAGUUUUAAAAAUAUUGCUGGUAAACAUUCCUAUUUAUAUUCAAUAUUCUAUACAUGCAUGUAUUUCUGUUGUUAUGAACUUACUCAGUAACAAGGUAUGAAGUUCCCCAACUUCACUAGGUAACGCUAGUUUUCCAAAUUAUCAAUUUACCUAUUUAAACAAAUUUACAUUCCCACCAGCAGCAUAUAACAUUUUUAUCACUUUACAGUCCGGUUUUAAUUUUAGCAAUUCUGAAGAAUGAGUAAUGGCUUCUCACUGUGGUUUGAAAUUGCAAU